AACAGGAUUAGAUACCCUGGUAGUGCACGCCGUAAACGAUGUCGACUUGGAGGUUGUUCCCUUGAGGAGUGGCUUCCGGAGCUAACGCGUUAAGUCGACCGCCUGGGGAGUACGGCCGCAAGGUUAAAACUCAAAUGAAUUGACGGGGGCCCGCACAAGCGGUGGAGCAUGUGGUUUAAUUCGAUGCAACGCGAAGAACCUUACCUACUCUUGACAUCCACGGAAUUCGGCAGAGAUGCCUUAGUGCCUUCGGGAACCGUGAGACAGGUGCUGCAUGGCUGUCGUCAGCUCGUGUUGUGAAAUGUUGGGUUAAGUCCCGCAACGAGCGCAACCCUUAUCCUUUGUUGCCAGCGAUUCGGUCGGGAACUCAAAGGAGACUGCCGGUGAUAAACCGGAGGAAGGUGGGGAUGACGUCAAGUCAUCAUGGCCCUUACGAGUAGGGCUACACACGUGCUACAAUGGCGCAUACAAAGAGAAGCGACCUCGCGAGAGCAAGCGGACCUCAUAAAGUGCGUCGUAGUCCGGAUCGGAGUCUGCAACUCGACUCCGUGAAGUCGGAGUCGCUAGUAAUCGUGGAUCAGAAUGCCACGGUGAAUACGUUCCCGGGCCUUGUACACACCGCCCGUCACACCAUGGGAGUGGGUUGCAAAAGAAGUAGGUAGCUUAACCUUCGGGAGGGCGCUUACCACUUUGUGAUUCAUGACUGGGGUGAAGUCGUAACAAGGUAACC
This 730-nucleotide ribosomal RNA is filed under the name uncultured bacterium. Its description in RNAcentral is "bacterial SSU rRNA". It matches the Rfam family "Bacterial small subunit ribosomal RNA", at positions 771 to 1501 of the family's 1533-position model. The record is from RNAcentral.